RNAcentral lists this unclassified non-coding RNA (688 nucleotides) under Chelonus insularis. RNAcentral describes it as "uncharacterized LOC118070942, transcript variant X2". The record is from RNAcentral. Lineage: Eukaryota; Metazoa; Arthropoda; Insecta; Hymenoptera; Braconidae.
UUUCAGUGUGAUUUAUAAGAGAUAAAAUAAAUUAAAUUAAAAAAAAAAAUUUUUAAAUUAUAAAAGUAGAUUAAUAAAUCCUAUUGAAUUAAAUCAACAAGAAAGAUGUCAACAACCAAGUGUCCUAUUGGUCUUUCUGAUCCUUGUGAUUCAUCCAUUAUCAAUGACACAAAGAACCAGCAAUUAUCCACAUCAGAGAGAUUGAAUCAACUUGAGAAAGAGGUUAAUACACUUCGUUCAGAUUUUGACAAAAUGAAAUGGGAACAAGCAGUGGUUGAAACAGUUAUAGGACGAGCUAUAAUCAGAGGAUCUGCUUCGUUGAGUGGAUGUUAUGAACUUUUAUGUCCAAAGACCACAAAUAUUCAAGGCACUAAAAAUCUUAUGUUAGAGGAUGGGCAAAAAGAUCCUUUUUGUAAUUCCAAAUUAAAUUUACUCCAAAAAAAUUUAAGCCCGGAUAAAAAAACACCACCAUCACCAUCACCACCAGGACAAUCUGAGGCUGAGUGAGAAACAUACGUUGAGAAGAAAAUUUAACAGAAUAAAGCUUUGUCUGUACUUCUACAGAUUUAGACAUAAAUUUCAGUAUAAUAAUAGCUUGUUAUCGUUAUUAUAACGAUCUUGGAAUAUGCGUCAAUAAAUAGUUCAACUACGAUAAAUAAAAGUUUCAGAAAAAUCAGUUUCAUGUGGG